UUUAAUUGAAGAGUUUGAUCAUGGCUCAGAUUGAACGCUGGCGGCAGGCCUAACACAUGCAAGUCGAGCGGAAACGAAGAGG
This 82-nucleotide ribosomal RNA is filed under the name Pseudoalteromonadaceae bacterium. Its description in RNAcentral is "partial 16S ribosomal RNA". It matches the Rfam family "Bacterial small subunit ribosomal RNA", at positions 1 to 80 of the family's 1533-position model. Lineage: Bacteria; Pseudomonadati; Pseudomonadota; Gammaproteobacteria; Alteromonadales; Pseudoalteromonadaceae. The record is from RNAcentral.